UUCAUAUGAUGCUACAUAAAUAUAUUUGCUACUUCAGAGGGCUACGACCCGAUGAGACCAAUUUUCCACCAAGAUCUCUGAUGAU
Coniophora puteana RWD-64-598 SS2 is the source of this 85-nucleotide small nucleolar RNA. It matches the Rfam family "Small nucleolar RNA SNORD24". From Rfam's summary of the family: U24 is a member of the C/D class of snoRNA which contain the C (UGAUGA) and D (CUGA) box motifs. Lineage: Eukaryota; Fungi; Basidiomycota; Agaricomycetes; Boletales; Coniophoraceae. The record is from Rfam.